AUAUAUUUCUAAUUUUUUUUUGGAUUAGGGUUUGUAGUUUGUAACAUUGUUUAUUCGAUUAUUGUCUAUUGUUGAUUUGAUACAUGGUUAUUCACCAGUUGUUUCAUGAUUAUCUUUUAUCAUUUUAUUAUGGUUAUCUGAUUGUUGAAUCUCAUUGUCAAAAUUGAGACCUUACCAGGUAUUGAAUUUGUUUGUGGUGUAUUUAAUAAAAUUUCAGAGAGGGCUUCCUUCUUAUUUUGACCUUUUGUAAUUUUGUUUCCACCUAAGCAUUGGAGAAAAUGGGGGUUUAGAUUUUACUUUAUGAGAAUGAAUUGAAAUAUUAACUUUUGUUCAUACAUUAGCUUUUUUUGUCGAAUUACAGUGAAUUGAAAUGGGGGUUAAUUGUGAAGCUAUUACUCUGAAUUUUGGCCACUGUUUGAUAAAAACUCAGGUAGACAUAUUCAUACACUAGCUUGGCUUGUUUGAUUACAAGGAAUUGAAAUGUCUUUUAUCCAUUGUUAAUUACAUAUUUUAUUAGUUGAUUUUGAUGUUCCGGUCAUGGUUACUUUAUGGAUGAUAUUUUAAUUGACUGAUUUUGAAGCUAUUGCUCUGAAUUUUGGUCACUGUUUGAUAAAAAAUCCAGACAGGCAUGUUCAUGCUCUAACUUAGCUCUGCUUAUUUUGCUUUGAAUGUCAUUUCUCUAUGCUAAUGCUCUUAAUCAGAACAAUUGAGUAGAAUGACAUUUGAUAAAUUAAAUACCUCUCCAAACAAGAUCUUUUCAUAUUUAUUGUAGUAGCUGGCUUCAUUGGUUUCCUUGCAUUGUCUCCAAAAAGAAAGUGUGUCAAUAGUUGUCAAGGUCAUAUCUUAUUUGAUACAUAGAUUUUAUUGUCCUUUCUUUUUUUCAAGUUUCUGCUUAGUGCUUUUAUUUUAGCUGACCCUAGACCUUAAAGCACUUUCUGUAUUUGAUUUAUAAAAUAUAUGAGCAUUGAUUGUCGUCAAUUCAUCAUUGAUCUUUUCUAGAUCAAGUCUCUAUUAAGUUCAAGUCUAGAUCUUUUUUCUUGUCUAAGCAUUAUGAGAAUAAACUACUUUGCUGAAAGAACUUAUAUCUAUUGGAUUGGCCUUGAGUGGAGAUCAGAAACUGGGGGCAGUUUUAUGAAUUUAAUGGUAAUAAGUCCAUUUUGAAAAAGUAGUCUGGGUGAUAAAUUGGAGAACCCAUUUUGGAAAUACUUUUACAUUUUAGUUUGACAAGUACAUAUUGGUUGUUUAUUUUGAGAUAACUGUGUGAUGAAGUAAGUUAAGUUAGGAUGAUAGUUUUGAAACCACUGUAAUUAUGAAUGUGGAGUUGUUCUAAAACUUUUGCUGCAUGCACUUUAUCUUUUGGUGGAUGCAUUCAAGAUAGAUUUUAUUUAUUAUUGAAUUUGAUUUUGUAGCUACUUUAGUUUACUAUGGUUUUAUAUGUUAUGUAGCUAUGUGAGUCGUCUACUCUAAAUGGAGGAUUUUAAAGUUGGUACUUGUACUUCAUUUUCAAUAAUGGCUGUAUGCAAAAUUCAAUAUCUUAUCAUUGAUGGAGGCUUUUAUUUUAUGAGAGUUAGAUAGUUCUGUUAAGCUUUUGGUUGGUUUCACUUCCAUAGUUAUGAGCUUCAAAAUAUUACUAAUCCAACUUUUUUAAGUUGCUUUUUUCAAAGAAUUGAGGUUGAUGAUGUUGUAUACCUUCAGCUAAAGCAUCUUAUAUAAGCCAAAUUGGAGAAGGAAAAAUAACUACAAUAAUGGACAGUAAGUCAUUGAGCGGUGUUGAAGGCAUGUUGAAGGCUCGCUUUCCAAUUAUAAAGCAAAUGCCUUCAUAUGAUCUAAGAAUACAAAAGUACAUUGUCAUUGCUUGCUGUGGGAUUCACAAUUUUAUAAGGACAAAUGCAGAAGCAGAUUUAUAUUUUGAUGGCAGUGAAGGAAAUUCUGAAGUACAGGCCACCACUUUACAAAGCACGAUGGAACUUUGACUGAUAGUGUAGAGUUCAGUAUUUCUAGAACUCAUAUACGUGAAAUGACUCAUGUUCGUGAUGAAAUUGCUGACCAUAUAUGGAGAGCUAGUCGACGAUAGUGAGAUUGAGUAAAGACAUUAGUUGAUUCUUAUAACUCGUUUAAUACUUUAUUUUAAGUUUGGAUAAUUAUCACUUCAUAUGUUUUUAUUUUACUAUGUAAACUUUUUUGAUUUUGUGGUAUCUCGUGGAUAGAUAUUAAGUUUUGAAAUUUGAGAUUAUUUGAAUAUUAUUAAUAUGAUCUUUUUUUA
Molecule: long non-coding RNA, 2263 nt
Organism: Humulus lupulus (European hop)
Lineage: Eukaryota; Viridiplantae; Streptophyta; Magnoliopsida; Rosales; Cannabaceae
Exons: 2
Source: RefSeq, a predicted model, not a curated record